AGGCCUUUGGCGCAAAGGUAGCGCGUCCGCCUCCUAUUCUGUAGCGAGCGGAAGGCUGUGGGUUCGAGUCCCAUGAGGCCUG
Molecule: transfer RNA, 82 nt
Filed under: Gaeumannomyces tritici R3-111a-1
Lineage: Eukaryota; Fungi; Ascomycota; Sordariomycetes; Magnaporthales; Magnaporthaceae
Description: tRNA GGTG_20049
Rfam family: tRNA
About the family: Transfer RNA (tRNA) molecules are approximately 80 nucleotides in length. Their secondary structure includes four short double-helical elements and three loops (D, anti-codon, and T loops).
Source: Rfam by way of RNAcentral